UGCUGGUGCUUUGUCCAAUUGUGAACCACCCUAUUCCAUUCCGAACUAGGAAGUGAAAGCAGUUGGAGCCGAUGAUACCUAUUUACUUAGGGAAAGUAGGCUGCGCCCGCAU
RNAcentral lists this ribosomal RNA (112 nucleotides) under Zetaproteobacteria bacterium. The record is from RNAcentral. Lineage: Bacteria; Pseudomonadati; Pseudomonadota; Candidatius Mariprofundia.